RNAcentral lists this unclassified non-coding RNA (580 nucleotides) under Hevea brasiliensis (rubber tree). Lineage: Eukaryota; Viridiplantae; Streptophyta; Magnoliopsida; Malpighiales; Euphorbiaceae. The record is from RNAcentral.
GGAGCUAGCAGUGUUGCCUCAACAUCCGCAUUUGAUGCUUUCUGGCGGGAAGGAGGAUUUGGGUGCUUUAGCGAUGUUGGAAGACAGCGUAAAGAAGUUGAAAAGUCCUAAAACUUCUCCAGGGCCGGCUUUGAGCAAGAUCCAGAUUGACUGCGCCCUCGAUUAUUUAGCNNNNNNNNNNNNNUUGGGUCUAUGAGUCUUGUGGGUCUGUCUCGUUUUCGGCUUUGGAGCAUCCUAAAUUCCGGGCAUUCUUGAAUCAAGUUGGCUUGCCUGCAGUUUCGAGAAGAGAAUUUUGCGGUGAUAGACUGGAUGUUAAGUUUGAGGAAGCUAAGGCAGAGUCUGAGGCAAGGAUUAGAGAUGCUAUGUUUUUUCAGAUUGCAUCCGAUGGCUGGAAAGUCAAGAGUUUUAGCGGUUUUAGUGGCGUGAAUUUGGUGAAUUUGACAGUGAAUUUGCCUAAUGGGACUAGUUUGUAUCGGAGAGUUGUGUUUGUUAGUGGUUCAGUGCCUUCUAAGUAUGCAGAGGAAGUUUUAUGGGAGACCAUAUCAGGGAUUUGUGGGAAUGCCGUGCAGCAGUGUGUAGG